Molecule: ribosomal RNA, 721 nt
Filed under: Phaeodischloridium aquaticum
Lineage: Eukaryota; Fungi; Ascomycota; Sordariomycetes; Chaetosphaeriales; Chaetosphaeriaceae
Description: Chaetosphaeria aquatica partial large subunit ribosomal RNA
Rfam family: Eukaryotic large subunit ribosomal RNA
Source: RNAcentral
GGCGAGUGAAGCGGCAACAGCUCAAAUUUGAAAUCUGGCCCCCGGCCCGAGUUGUAAUUUGCAGAGGAUGCUUCGGGCGCGGCGCCUUCCAAGUCCCCUGGAAUGGGGCGCCACAGAGGGUGAGAGCCCCGUACGGUCGGACGCCUAGCCCGUGUGAAGCUCCUUCGACGAGUCGAGUAGUUUGGGAAUGCUGCUCUAAAUGGGAGGUAGACCCCUUCUAAAGCUAAAUACCGGCCAGAGACCGAUAGCGCACAAGUAGAGUGAUCGAAAGAUGAAAAGCACUUUGAAAAGAGGGUUAAACAGCACGUGAAAUUGUUGAAAGGGAAGCGCUCGUGACCAGACCUGCGCCGGGGUGAUCAUCUGGCGUUCUCGCCGGUGCACUCGCCCCGGUCCAGGCCAGCGUCGGUUCGCGGGGGGGGAGAAGGGCGUCGGGAACGUGGCUCCCCCGGGAGUGUUAUAGCCCGGCGCGUCAUGCCCCCCUGCGGACCGAGGUUCGCGCUCUGCAAGGACGCUGGCGUAAUGGUCACCAGCGACCCGUCUUGAAACACGGACCAGGGAAGUCGAGGUUCUGCGCGAGUGGUUUGGGUGUCAAACCCGCACGCGUAAUGAAAGUGAACGCAGGUGGGAGCUUCGGCGCACCACCGACCGAUCCUGAUGUUCUCGGAUGGAUUUGAGUAAGGAGCGUGGGGCCUCGGACCCGAAAGAUGGUGAACUAUGCCUA